AAGAACUUUCUAUCCCAACGAAAGUAAUAACAGCUGUUUAACAAUGGAUCCCAAAGUCCAGAAUUAAAAAUCCUCUCUAAAAACACAGCCUUUUCUAUGGACACUGCAAUAAACAAAGGCCAUGCUAAAAUGUGAAACCAGAAGUAAAAGACCUCGCAAGACUUUCUGACUCUCANAUAAGGCCCAGUUUUCAUGGGAAUGGUAAAUCUAGAUCUCGAU
RNAcentral lists this long non-coding RNA (219 nucleotides) under Salvator merianae (Argentine black and white tegu). RNAcentral describes it as "lncRNA (ENSSMRG00000001598.1)". Lineage: Eukaryota; Metazoa; Chordata; Lepidosauria; Squamata; Teiidae. The record is from RNAcentral.